GAACGAGGAUAUAUCCUUCGGGGUAUAAGCCGAGUGGCGCAAGGGUGAGUAAUGCAUAGAUUACCUGCCUCUAGGAUAAGGACAACUUUGUGAAAACGAAGCUAAUACUUAAUAAUACAAAAGAAAAUAAUUUUCUUUUGUCAAUGGGAGGGUAGCAAUACCUUUUGCCUAGAGAGGGGUUUAUGUCCUAUCAGCUUGUUGAUGGGGUAAUGGCCUACCAAGGCGAAGACGGGUAGCCGGUCUUAGAGGAUGGUCGGCCACACUGGGACUGAGACACUGCCCAGACUUCUACGGAAGGCUGCAGUCGAGAAUCUUUCGCAAUGCCCGAAAGGGUGACGAAGCGACGCCGCGUGAGUGAGGAAGGCCUUAGGGUUGUAAAGCUCUGUCAGGAGUUAAGAAAUAUAAGUGUGUUAAUACCACAUUUAUUUGACGAAGGCUCCAAAGGAAGCCACGGCUAACUCUGUGCCAGCAGCCGCGGUAAUACAGAGGUGGCAAGCGUUGUUCGGAAUUAUUGGGCGUAAAGAGCACGUAGGUGGGUUUGUAAGUCAGAUGUGAAAGCCUUCUGUUCAACGGAAGAAUUGCAUCUGAAACUGCAAGUCUUGAGUGUAGGAGGGGAGAAUGGAACUUCUGGUGGAGCGGUGAAAUGCGUAGAUAUCAGAAGGAACGCCGGCGGCGAAAGCGAUUCUCUGGCCUAUUACUGACACUCAGUGUGCGAAAGCUAGGGGAGCAAACGGGAUUAGAUACCCCGGUAGUCCUAGCCGUAAACGAUGGGCACUAAGUAGAGGGGAUUACCGAUGUUCUCUCUGCCGUAGCUAACGCAUUAAGUGCCCCGCCUGGGGAGUACGGCCGCAAGGCUAAAACUCAAAAGAAUUGACGGGGGCUCGCACAAGCGGUGCAGCAUGUGGCUUAAUUCGAUGCAACGCGAAAAACCUUACCGGGGCUUGACAUGGUAGAAGUAGGAACCCGAAAGGGUAACGAACGGUAUCCAGUCCGUAGCUAUCACAGGUGUUGCAUGGCUGUCGUCAGCUCGUGUCGUGAGACGUUGGGUUAAGUCCCCUAACGAGCGAAACCCUUGUUUUUAGUUACCAGCGGGUUAUGCCGGGUACUCUAGAAAGACUGCCGUCGUCAAGACGGAGGAAGGUGGGGAUGACGUCAAGUCAUCAUGGCCCUUAUGCCCCGGGCUGCACACGUGCUACAAUGGUCGGUACAAACGGAAGCGAAGCCGAGAGGUGGAGCGAAUCCUAAAAAGCCGAUCUCAGUUCGGAUUGGAGGCUGAAAUUCGCCUCCAUGAAGUUGGAAUCGCUAGUAAUCGCGGAUCAGCAUUGCCGCGGUGAAUAUGUUCCCGAGCCUUGUACACACCGCCCGUCAAGCCACCCAAGCAGGAUGCACCCGAAAACAUUAUAUCUAACCAGGUUUACCUGGAGGAAAGUGUUGAAGGAGUGUUUUGUGA
Molecule: ribosomal RNA, 1450 nt
Filed under: uncultured anaerobic ammonium-oxidizing bacterium
Lineage: Bacteria
Description: 16S ribosomal RNA
Rfam family: Bacterial small subunit ribosomal RNA
Source: RNAcentral